This 1551-nucleotide ribosomal RNA is filed under the name Triticum aestivum (bread wheat). RNAcentral describes it as "partial small subunit ribosomal RNA". Lineage: Eukaryota; Viridiplantae; Streptophyta; Magnoliopsida; Poales; Poaceae. The record is from RNAcentral.
AUGGACUCGCCAUCUCCUUGGAGAACACUACUGGCCUCUCUCAUCAUACUCAUGGCGCUCGUCUCGCCCACCGCAGCCCCGCCGCCAACCCCCGGGGAGCAAGCAGGGGCGCUCCUGGCCUGGAGAGCCACCCUCGGCGGCCAAAGCCAGCGCGCCCUGCGAUCCUGGGGAAACACGUCGACGCUCUGCAGCUGGCGCGGCGUCAGGUGCGGCGCGCGGCGCCGGCCGGUGAUCACCGGCGUCCACCUGCGCGGGGUGCGGCUCGCAGGGACGCUUGGGUCCCUCGACUUCGCGGCCCUGAGGGCCCUGACGAGUCUCGACCUCUGGCGCAACAGGCUGGCCGGGAGCAUUCCUCCGAGCAUCGCGGCCCUCGGCGAGCUCCAUGCCCUGCUCCUGCAAGGCAACCAGAUAAGCGGCUCCAUCCCACCUUCUCUAGCAAACCUCACGAGGCUGCAUCUCCUGAUGCUCCAUGACAACCAAAUCUCCGGCGAAAUAGCAGGACAGAUAGGAGAGCUGGGUAACCUUGUGAGCCUAGACUUGUCAGGCAAUCAGCUGGUUGGUAGUAUCCCCUGUGAAAUAGGCCACCUAAAUCACCUGGUCAGGUUGGAUUUGUCUGACAACAAGCUUUCAGGUCCGGUUUCCUUCUGUCCAGCCAAUAACUCCACAGUAAAUUUAGAAAAUCUGAAUAGGCUGUCAUUAUCCAGGAAUAACCUAGCAGGUCCCAUUUCCAAAGAUAUUGUGAAUUUAUCCAGCCUCCAACACCUCGACAUAAGCCAAAACAAUUUUUCCGGCUUGAUCCCGGGCGGUGUAGGUGGCCUGAACAAACUCACAUUCCUGCAUCUUUCAGAUAAUCAGCUUUCGGGACCGAUUCCUCCGGAAAUCGGAAACUUACAGAGGCUUAAGCAGCUUAACCUUAGUGCAAACCAUCUUGAAGGCUAUAUUCCAACUAGUUUAGGAAACUUAACACAGUUAACAGCUCUAAAUCUUUCGACUAACGAGCUCAUCGGGCCCAUCCCUAAAGAAAUAAGGAAUUUAGUGAACUUAGAAAGUUUGGGACUAGGACAGAACAAACUUACGGCGUCCAUUCCAAACAGUCUGGGGAAUCUGACAAAACUCACCACCUUGGACCUUCAUGAUAACCAACUUUCUGGAAACAUCCCUCGAGAGCUAGGUUAUUUAGUGAACUUGGAGGAAUUGAACAUUUACAACAACACACUAAGUGGUUCCAUCCCAAGUAGCUUAGGGAACUUGACAAAGCUCACAACUCUAUACCUUUGCUAUAACCAAUUGUCUGGAUCCAUUCCACAAGAAAUUGGAAACUUGAGAAAUCUCGUUUGGUUGACUCUAAGUUCUAACAAACUCUCCGGUCCCCUGCCAUCCGGUCUUUGUUCCGGAGGCCGGCUACAAAAUUUCACUGCUUAUAACAACAUGUUGGUUGGACCCUUGCCAACAAGCUUGCUAAGAUGCACAAGCCUGGUACGAUUUCGUCUUGAACGAAAUCAGCUCCAAGGAGAUAUCUCUGAGAUGGGGACCCAAAUCUUGUCUACAUAG